RNAcentral lists this ribosomal RNA (396 nucleotides) under uncultured bacterium. RNAcentral's name for it is "partial 16S ribosomal RNA". It matches the Rfam family "Bacterial small subunit ribosomal RNA", at positions 360 to 773 of the family's 1533-position model. The record is from RNAcentral.
AAUCUUCCGCAAUGGGCGCAAGCCUGACGGAGCAAUGCCGCGUGAGUGAAGAAGGUCUUCGGAUUGUAAAACUCUGUCCAUGGGGAAGAUAAUGACUGUACCCGUGGAGGAAGCCUCUGCUAACUACGUGCCAGCAGCCGCGGUAAAACGUAGGGGGCAAGGCUUGUCCGGAAUUACUGGGCGUAAAGUGCGUGUAGGCGGCUAUUCAAGUCAAUAGUGAAGCCAGACGGCUCAACCGUCGGCUUGCUGUCGAAACUGAAUGGGUUGAGUGCAGGAGAGGAGAGUGGAAGUCCCAGUGUAGCGGUGAAAUGCGUAGAUACUAGGAGGAACACCAGUGGCGAAGGCGGCUCUCUGGCCUGCAACUGACGCUGAGGCGCGAAAGCGUGGGUAGCGAAC